RNAcentral lists this ribosomal RNA (872 nucleotides) under bacterium 060620-Aspo-KJ0052F01-K3-SRB16. Its description in RNAcentral is "bacterial SSU rRNA". It matches the Rfam family "Bacterial small subunit ribosomal RNA", at positions 15 to 869 of the family's 1533-position model. The record is from RNAcentral.
UUUUUCUGCUCAGAUUGAACGCUGGCGGCGUGCUUAACACAUGCAAGUCGAGCGAGAAAGUUCUCUUCGGAGAAUGAGUAGAGCGGCGCACGGGUGAGUAACGCGUGGAUAAUCUACCCUGAAGAUCGGGAUAACAGUUGGAAACGACUGCUAAUACCGGAUAUCCUGCAUAUUUAGCUUUAUGUGGUAAAGGCGGCCUCUAUUUAUAAGCUGCCGCUUUGGGAUGAGUCCGCGUCUCAUUAGCUUGUUGGUGGGGUAAUGGCCUACCAAGGCAACGAUGAGUAGCUGGUCUGAGAGGAUGAUCAGCCACACUGGGACUGAAACACGGCCCAGACUCCUACGGGAGGCAGCAGUGGGGAAUAUUGCGCAAUGGGGGAAACCCUGACGCAGCGACGCCGCGUGCGGGAAGAAGGCCUUCGGGUCGUAAACCGCUGUCAGGAGGGAAGAAACUGUUAGGGUAUAAUACGCCCUUUCACUGACGGUACCUCCAAAGGAAGCACCGGCUAACUCCGUGCCAGCAGCCGCGGUAAUACGGAGGGUGCGAGCGUUAAUCGGAAUCACUGGGCGUAAAGCGCACGUAGGCGGCGCAUCAAGUCAGGCGUGAAAGCCCUCGGCUCAACCGAGGAAUUGCGCUUGAAACUGGUGUGCUGGAGUCUCGGAGAGGUUGGCGGAAUUCCAGGUGUAGGAGUGAAAUCCGUAGAUAUCUGGAGGAACACCGGUGGCGAAGGCGGCCAACUGGACGAGUACUGACGCUGAGGUGCGAAAGCGUGGGGAGCAAACAGGAUUAGAUACCCUGGUAGUCCACGCUGUAAACGAUGGAUAUUAGGUGUCGGGGGUUACCUUCGGUGCCGCAGUUAACGCGUUAAAUUCCC